UGGAGAGUUUGAGACUAGAAG
RNAcentral lists this non-coding RNA (21 nucleotides) under Mus musculus (house mouse). The record is from RNAcentral. Lineage: Eukaryota; Metazoa; Chordata; Mammalia; Rodentia; Muridae.